AACGCACAUUGCGCCCCCUGGUAUUCCGGGGGGCAUGCCUGUCCGAGCGUCAUUGCAACCUUCAAGCGCGGCUUGUGUGUUGGGCCUCGUCCCCCGUGGACGGGCUCGAAAGGCAGUGGCGGCGCCCGAUCCGGUGCCUGAGCGUAUGGGGAACUUCUCCGCUCUUCAAGGCCCGGUCGGCGCUGGUCGAUAACUAAAUUUUUACCGGUUGACCUCGGAUCAGGUAGGGAUACCCGCUGAACUUAA
Molecule: unclassified non-coding RNA, 246 nt
Filed under: uncultured Auxarthron
Lineage: Eukaryota; Fungi; Ascomycota; Eurotiomycetes; Onygenales
Description: sequence contains ITS2
Rfam family: 5.8S ribosomal RNA (bases 1-52)
Source: RNAcentral